AAUGGUGUCCUUAUCAACUGAAUAGUUGUUACUAAUACCAGGAAACGAUAAAGAAGUGAAUGAAGUGUAUUCGUUUAUUUUAAACGAUGUCUGGAAAACAGAUGUAAAUAAAUAAUCUCUCCAGGUAAAGAACUCAGUGAACAAGACAACUGCAUAACCUCAACGAGGAAAGUUCAACUUACAAAUAAGUUCUAUGGGAAAGGCGAACACUGAGCAUCAUGGGCACUUCACACACUGUUAGUGCACUGUGAAUUCCUACAAGCAUCCCGAAAAGAAACCUCAUAAUAUGUAUCCACAGCCUUGGAAAUAUUUAAGACCUUUUAUUCAGUAUGAUUCCCUUUCUAGAAAUGUGCCCUGAAGAUGUAAUCUGUCACUCAAAGACCCUGCACAAGGAUAAUUGAUGGAUUAGUAUUUAUUAGAGUGAAACUGUAACUAUCUGAAUGAUCCAUAGUUAGGGGAAUUGUUAAAUGAUUAUAUGUCCUUACAGUGAAAUAUUAGACAGCUUUAAAAAUGUCAACGUUAUAACAACAUUUAUGGACAUCGAAAAUGCUAGUGAUUUAAUGUUAAGUGGAAAUAAAACAGAAAC
This 586-nucleotide long non-coding RNA is filed under the name Equus caballus (horse). RNAcentral describes it as "lncRNA (ENSECAG00000058520.1)". Lineage: Eukaryota; Metazoa; Chordata; Mammalia; Perissodactyla; Equidae. The record is from RNAcentral.